This is a non-coding RNA of Acanthosepion pharaonis, 104 nucleotides long. The record is from the annotation of a GenBank genome assembly. Lineage: Eukaryota; Metazoa; Mollusca; Cephalopoda; Sepiida; Sepiidae.
ACGGCCGCAUCAUGUAGAAUCACCAGUUCUCGUACGAUCACCGAAGUUAAGCAACGUCGAUCCUGGUCAUUACCUAGAUGGGUGAACGUUUGGGAAUACAGGUG